RNAcentral lists this ribosomal RNA (351 nucleotides) under Triticum aestivum (bread wheat). RNAcentral describes it as "partial small subunit ribosomal RNA". Lineage: Eukaryota; Viridiplantae; Streptophyta; Magnoliopsida; Poales; Poaceae. The record is from RNAcentral.
AUGUAUGCAUUUGUUUAUGUAGUAUGUAUGUCGGUGUGUGAGUGGUUGUUGACAAACAAGGCUCUUUGUUGUAAUAAUUUCCCCUCGUAUCUGUGCUCUUCUGCCAUCCGCUUUGUGCUACAAAUUGUAUGCUUUGAUUUCCCCUUGUAUCUGUCAAGUACUGUACACACCUGGCCACACUUUAGUCACGUAGAAAUUUUUCGUCUUCGUUUAGUAACAUGCAUGCAUGCAUUCUUGAUUUAUCAGCGACGAGUUCUAAGUACCCAUCCCAUCCAAACAAACAAGGCUCUUUGUUGUAGCAUUGCCAUACUAACGCACUCCUCUUUUUUGAUUGCCCGUUGGCCAAGGUAA